AGGGCCGCCCCUACAAUUGCCAAGUCGAACGGCGGCACGGACUUCGGUCUGGUGGCGAGUGGCGAACGGGUGAGUAAUGUAUCGGAACGUGCCCAGUAGCGGGGGAUAACUACGCGAAAGCGUAGCUAAUACCGCAUACGCCCUACGGGGGAAAGCAGGGGAUCGCAAGACCUUGCACUAUUGGAGCGGCCGAUAUCGGAUUAGCUAGUUGGUGGGGUAACGGCUCACCAAGGCGACGAUCCGUAGCUGGUUUGAGAGGACGACCAGCCACACUGGGACUGAGACACGGCCCAGACUCCUACGGGAGGCAGCAGUGGGGAAUUUUGGACAAUGGGGGAAACCCUGAUCCAGCCAUCCCGCGUGUGCGAUGAAGGCCUUCGGGUUGUAAAGCACUUUUGGCAGGAAAGAAACGUCGCGGGUUAAUACCUCGCGAAACUGACGGUACCUGCAGAAUAAGCACCGGCUAACUACGUGCCAGCAGCCGCGGUAAUACGUAGGGUGCAAGCGUUAAUCGGAAUUACUGGGCGUAAAGCGUGCGCAGGCGGUUCGGAAAGAAAGAUGUGAAAUCCCAGAGCUUAACUUUGGAACUGCAUUUUUAACUACCGGGCUAGAGUGUGU
This 618-nucleotide ribosomal RNA is filed under the name Achromobacter piechaudii. RNAcentral's name for it is "bacterial SSU rRNA". It matches the Rfam family "Bacterial small subunit ribosomal RNA", at positions 40 to 651 of the family's 1533-position model. Lineage: Bacteria; Pseudomonadati; Pseudomonadota; Betaproteobacteria; Burkholderiales; Alcaligenaceae. The record is from RNAcentral.